GAUGAACGCUAGCGGGAGGCCUAACACAUGCAAGCCGAGCGGUAGAGUUUCUUCGGAAACUUGAGAGCGGCGCACGGGUGCGUAACACGUGUGCAACCUACCUUUAUCUGGGGGAUAGCCUUUCGAAAGGAAGAUUAAUACCCCAUAAUAUAAUGAUUGGCAUCAAUUAUUAUUGAAAACUCCGGUGGAGAGAGAGGGGCACGCGCAAGAUUAGAUAGUUGGUGAGGUAACGGCUCACCAAGUCAAUGAUCUUUAGGGGUCCUGAGAGGGAGAUCCCCCACACUGGUACUGAGACACGGACCAGACUCCUACGGGAGGCAGCCGUGCGGCCUCUUGGCCCCUGGGUGCGCGCCUGCUCCCGCCAUCCCGCGUGCCGGAGGACGGUCCUAUGGAUUGUAAACUUCUUUUGUACCGGGAUCCCCCUCCCCUCGUGCGGGUAGCUGCCGGUCCUGUCCGCCUCCGCCCCGGCUCCCUCCGUG
RNAcentral lists this ribosomal RNA (479 nucleotides) under uncultured bacterium. Its description in RNAcentral is "partial 16S ribosomal RNA". It matches the Rfam family "Bacterial small subunit ribosomal RNA", at positions 28 to 507 of the family's 1533-position model. The record is from RNAcentral.